ACAGCUGUGCAUAAUGAUGGUUUGUAUCUCCUAACAAUUAUGUUUUAACAUUUUAUAUGUUAUGACAUCUGUUGUGACAUUCUCUGCUAGGUUGAUUGACAUUUAUUUUGUCUAAUUGGUCACCUAUGAUCAAAAUUUUGACUAAAAAGGGGGAGAAGUGAUUAUGUGGAGCUGUGUGGAGAUGUAUGUGGAGCUGUGA
Molecule: long non-coding RNA, 199 nt
Filed under: Lathyrus oleraceus (garden pea)
Lineage: Eukaryota; Viridiplantae; Streptophyta; Magnoliopsida; Fabales; Fabaceae
Description: Pisum sativum (pea) long non-coding RNA (PSAT_LNC005854)
Source: RNAcentral